RNAcentral lists this ribosomal RNA (450 nucleotides) under uncultured bacterium. RNAcentral describes it as "bacterial SSU rRNA". It matches the Rfam family "Bacterial small subunit ribosomal RNA", at positions 28 to 521 of the family's 1533-position model. The record is from RNAcentral.
GACGAACGCUGGCGGUGUGCUUCACACAUGCAAGUCGAACGAGGUAGCAAUACCUAGUGGCGGACGGGUGAGUAACGCGUGGGAAUCUGCCUUUAGAUGGGGGAUAACGGGUCGAAAGACUCGCUAAUACCGCAUAUGACGAAAGUUGAAAGGAGUAAUCCGUCUAAAGAUGAGCCCGCGUCCGAUUAGCUAGUUGGUAGAGUAAAAGCCUACCAAGGCGACGAUCGGUAGCUGGUCUGAGAGGAUGAUCAGCCACAAUGGGAACUAGAGACACGGCCCAUACUCCUACGGGAGCAGCAGUGGGAAUUUACGCAAUGGGCGAAAGCCUGACGUAGCGACACCGCGUGAGCGAAGAAGCCCCUUGGGGUGUAAAGCUCUGUCAGCUGGAACGAAAAAAUGACGGUACCAGCAGAGGAAGCAAUCGGCUAACUACGUGCCAGCAGCCGCGGU